Molecule: ribosomal RNA, 336 nt
Filed under: Salmonella enterica subsp. enterica serovar Enteritidis str. P125109
Lineage: Bacteria; Pseudomonadati; Pseudomonadota; Gammaproteobacteria; Enterobacterales; Enterobacteriaceae
Description: partial 23S ribosomal RNA
Rfam family: Bacterial large subunit ribosomal RNA
Source: RNAcentral
UUAAUGAGGCGAACCGGGGGAACUGAAACAUCUAAGUACCCCGAGGAAAAGAAAUCAACCGAGAUUCCCCCAGUAGCGGCGAGCGAACGGGGAGGAGCCCAGAGCCUGAAUCAGCAUGUGUGUUAGUGGAAGCGUCUGGAAAGGCGCGCGAUACAGGGUGACAGCCCCGUACACAAAAGCGCAUGUGCUGUGAGCUCGAUGAGUAGGGCGGGACACGUGGUAUCCUGUCUGAAUAUGGGGGGACCAUCCUCCAAGGCUAAAUACUCCUGACUGACCGAUAGUGAACCAGUACCGUGAGGGAAAGGCGAAAAGAACCCCGGCGAGGGGAGUGAAAAA